This is a long non-coding RNA of Zalophus californianus (California sea lion), 699 nucleotides long. RefSeq lists it as uncharacterized. The transcript is spliced from 7 exons. Lineage: Eukaryota; Metazoa; Chordata; Mammalia; Carnivora; Otariidae. The record is from RefSeq and is a predicted model, not a curated record.
GCUCCACAGAAAGCCACCUCCCUAACCACUACUUACUGCUUUCUCUUUUCGAGUUAGCCUACACCCAAAGCCACUGUCAGAUGCCACAGGGAUGAGACUUCACAAGAUCUUUAUUUUGGAAAACUGGAAAAUCCAUAAAAUCAAGAAGAAGAAAAAAGGCCUAUAUUUCUUCCAAAGAGAGAUAUUGGUUCUUCCAAUCCCCAACUCUCACAUACUUCAUAUUUCCUCCUUCCAGUGAAAAAGUACAAAAGCUCUAAUGCAUUUCAACUUGUCCAAAUGGGCCUUCAGUGUGGAAGAUGACCUUAGUCUCUCAAACAGUCUCAUCAGUUCCAAUCCAUCGGUUCAGAAGCCUUUUCUCCUACAAAAAAAUAUGAGGAUUCAUGCUCUAACAACUUGAAAGGUCAGAACACCCUGCAAAUUACUACUGAGUCUGACUCACGGAGCCCGCUGUCAUGGAGUUAUAGAGAAAUGCAAGUCCUCUUCUUUUUCCCCCAAACCGUGAACCAAAGCAGCUUGAAAACUUAAAAGCUCUUUGCUCCCUACCCUGAGGGAGUAACAGCGUCACGGGAAUCUUCCCACCAAGUCCUCUGAAUAAAGUUUUCUUUCCUUCGCCUGCGAGGCGAAUAUGGCCCCAGAUGCUCAGGUCCUAUGUGAACUGAAAUUAGUAACCUCUGCAAGCGCUGCGUUAUGGUCCUCUGG